Molecule: long non-coding RNA, 263 nt
Filed under: Elaeis guineensis (African oil palm)
Lineage: Eukaryota; Viridiplantae; Streptophyta; Magnoliopsida; Arecales; Arecaceae
Description: long non-coding RNA (EGUI_LNC073972)
Source: RNAcentral
CUCCCUCCCCUCUUCAUGUCUAAGGAGUUGGACGUCCAUCUGGCAAAGGUCCAAGGCGUGGUGAUACCUGGAACAGGAAGGCUGUAGGACAUCUUCGACAGGCUGCUACUCCAACUUCAGAAGGAGUUCUGAAGUACUUUCAAAUCAAAUAGAGAUCUGAUUUUUGGAGCAUAGAUUUGUGAGGAGAAGAUGUUCUAUGUCCUACUCAAGUGGAUAUCAGUAGAGGUCAAGCGCUUAUAUGGCUACAUCAGAACCUCAGGCUG